RNAcentral lists this ribosomal RNA (464 nucleotides) under uncultured bacterium. RNAcentral's name for it is "partial 16S ribosomal RNA". It matches the Rfam family "Bacterial small subunit ribosomal RNA", at positions 339 to 795 of the family's 1533-position model. The record is from RNAcentral.
CUACGGGGUGCAGCAGUGGGGAAUAUUGCACAAUGGGCGCAAGCCUGAUGCAGCCAUGCCGCGUGUAUGAAGAAGGCCUUCGGGUUGUAAAGUACUUUCAGCGGGGAGGAAGGGAGUAAAGUUAAUACCUUUGCUCAUUGACGUUACCCGCAGAAGAAGCACCGGCGAACCCCGUGCCAGCAGCCGCGGUAAUACGGAGGGUGCAAGCGUUAAUCGGAAUUACUGGGCGUAAAGCGCACGCAGGCGGUUUGUUAAGUCAGAUGUGAAAUCCCCGGGCUCAACCUGGGAACUGCAUCUGAUACUGGCAAGCUUGAGUCUCGUAGAGGGGGGUAGAAUUCCAGGUGUAGCGGUGAAAUGCGUAGAGAUCUGGAGGAAUACCGGUGGCGAAGGCGGCCCCCUGGACGAAGACUGACGCUCAGGUGCGAAAGCGUGGGGAGCAAACAGGAUUAGAUACCCGGGUAGUC